This 138-nucleotide small nucleolar RNA is filed under the name Ornithorhynchus anatinus (platypus). Lineage: Eukaryota; Metazoa; Chordata; Mammalia; Monotremata; Ornithorhynchidae. The record is from RNAcentral.
CCCCUCACAGGAUUGCACCUGGAGAGUUUCCAGUACUCUACCAGUAUCAGAUAUGGGAGGGAGAAUCAAGCAGAGGCCUACUCAUUCCAUUCCUAGUUUGGGCAGUGGCUAGGGAGUGGAACGCAAUCUGUUACAAGU